GUUACCGUAGCUUAAACAACUCAAAAGCACGGCCCUGAAGUUGCCGUAAUGGACGCACCAAAAUCCCGGAAACA
Molecule: transfer RNA, 74 nt
Filed under: Hemidactylus bowringii
Lineage: Eukaryota; Metazoa; Chordata; Lepidosauria; Squamata; Gekkonidae
Description: tRNA-Phe
Source: RNAcentral